GAUGAACGCUGGCGGCGUGCCUAAUACAUGCAAGUCGAGCGAACAGAUAAGGAGCUUGCUCCUUUGACGUUAGCGGCGGACGGGUGAGUUACACGUGGAUAACCUACCUAUAAGACUGGGAUAACUUCGGGAAACCGGAGCUAAUACCGGAUAACAUAUUGAACCGCAUGGUUCAAUAGUGAAAGGCGGCUUUGCUGUCACUUAUAGAUGGAUCCGCGCCGUAUUAGCUAGUUGGUAAGGUAACGGCUUACCAAGGCAACGAUACGUAGCCGACCUGAGAGGGUGAUCGGCCACACUGGAACUGAGCCACGGUCCAGACUCCUACGGGAGGCAGCAGUAGGGAAUCUUCCGCAAUGGGCGAAAGCCUGACGGAGCAACGCCGCGUGAGUGAUGAAGGUCUUCGGAUCGUAAAACUCUGUUAUCAGGGAAGAACAAAUGUGUAAGUAACUGUGCACAUCUUGACGGGACCUGAGCAGAAAGCCACGGCUAACUACGU
RNAcentral lists this ribosomal RNA (496 nucleotides) under uncultured bacterium. Its description in RNAcentral is "partial 16S ribosomal RNA". It matches the Rfam family "Bacterial small subunit ribosomal RNA", at positions 28 to 506 of the family's 1533-position model. The record is from RNAcentral.